RNAcentral lists this long non-coding RNA (249 nucleotides) under Mytilus galloprovincialis (Mediterranean mussel). The record is from RNAcentral. Lineage: Eukaryota; Metazoa; Mollusca; Bivalvia; Mytilida; Mytilidae.
GUUUAACGUCUUAAGUAAUGUUCACACAUGACUAAAUUUAAAAGUCAACAACCUAUGCGAUUGAAAUAUCAAUUUACAUAUUUAAUAUUCAUUUUGCACAGUCAUGUUGUCAAAACAGCAUUGAAAAGACCAAUGCAAAAUCAAUCAAAUAAAUACAAAUAAAUAACAGAACAUGCAAAUGAAACACAAGUUUUUUGGUAAAGUGUCCCCCAAUUGAAACAAUCUUAAUAGAAGUGAAAGAAAUCCGAG